RNAcentral lists this ribosomal RNA (1020 nucleotides) under Cassava frogskin disease phytoplasma. RNAcentral describes it as "bacterial SSU rRNA". It matches the Rfam family "Bacterial small subunit ribosomal RNA", at positions 240 to 1268 of the family's 1533-position model. Lineage: Bacteria; Bacillati; Mycoplasmatota; Mollicutes; Acholeplasmatales; Acholeplasmataceae. The record is from RNAcentral.
AUUAGUUAGUUGGCAGGGUAAAGGCCUACCAAGACUAUGAUGUGUAGCUGGACUGAGAGGUUGAACAGCCACAUUGGGACUGAGACACGGCCCAAACUCCUACGGGAGGCAGCAGUAGGGAAUUUUCGGCAAUGGAGGAAACUCUGACCGAGCAACGCCGCGUGAACGAUGAAGUACCUCGGUAUGUAAAGUUCUUUUAUUAAGGAAGAAAAAAGAGUGGAAAAACUCCCUUGACGGUACUUAAUGAAUAAGCCCCGGCUAAUUAUGUGCCAGCAGCCGCGGUAAUACAUAAGGGGCGAGCGUUAUCCGGAAUUAUUGGGCGUAAAGGGUGCGUAGGCGGUUUAAUAAGUCUAUAGUUUAAUUUCAGUGCUUAACGCUGUUGUGCUAUAGAAACUGUUUUACUAGAGUGAGUUAGAGGCAAGCGGAAUUCCAUGUGUAGCGGUAAAAUGCGUAAAUAUAUGGAGGAACACCAGAGGCGUAGGCGGCUUGCUGGGACUUUACUGACGCUGAGGCACGAAAGCGUGGGGAGCAAACAGGAUUAGAUACCCUGGUAGUCCACGCCGUAAACGAUGAGUACUAAGUGUCGGGUAAAACCGGUACUGAAGUUAACACAUUAAGUACUCCGCCUGAGUAGUACGUACGCAAGUAUGAAACUUAAAGGAAUUGACGGGACUCCGCACAAGCGGUGGAUCAUGUUGUUUAAUUCGAAGAUACACGAAAAACCUUACCAGGUCUUGACAUUUUCUUGCGAAGUUAUAGAAAUAUAAUGGAGGUUAUCAGGAAAACAGGUGGUGCAUGGUUGUCGUCAGCUCGUGUCGUGAGAUGUUAGGUUAAGUCCUAAAACGAGCGCAACCCUUGUCGUUAAUUGCCAGCAUGUAAUGAUGGGGACUUUAACGAGACUGCCAAUGAAAACUUGGAGGAAGGUGGGGAUUACGUCGAAAUCAUCAUGCCCCUUAUGAUCUGGGCUACAAACGUGAUACAAUGGUUGAUACAAAGAGUAGCUGAAACGCGAGUUCCAAC